RNAcentral lists this transfer RNA (82 nucleotides) under Actinomycetota bacterium. RNAcentral's name for it is "tRNA-Tyr". It matches the Rfam family "tRNA". From Rfam's summary of the family: Transfer RNA (tRNA) molecules are approximately 80 nucleotides in length. Lineage: Bacteria; Bacillati; Actinomycetota. The record is from RNAcentral.
GGCGGGGUUCCCGAGCGGUCAAAGGGGUUUGGCUGUAAACCAAAUGGCUCUGCCUUCGCAGGUUCGAAUCCUGCCCCCGCCA